This 319-nucleotide ribosomal RNA is filed under the name uncultured bacterium. RNAcentral describes it as "bacterial SSU rRNA". It matches the Rfam family "Bacterial small subunit ribosomal RNA", at positions 476 to 794 of the family's 1533-position model. The record is from RNAcentral.
UACCUGAGGAAUAAGCACCGGCUAACUCCGUGCCAGCAGCCGCGGUAAUACGGAGGGUGCAAGCGUUAUCCGGAUUCACUGGGUUUAAAGGGUGUGUAGGCGGGCAUGUAAGUCCGAGGUGAAAUCUCCGAGCUCAACUUGGAAACUGCCUUGGAUACUAUAUGUCUUGAAUAUCGUUGAGGUAGGCGGAAUAUGUCAUGUAGCGGUGAAAUGCUUAGAUAUGACAUAGAACACCGAUUGCGAAGGCAGCUUGCUAAACGAUUAUUGACGCUGAGGCACGAAAGCGUGGGGAUCAAACAGGAUUAGAUACCCUGGUAGU